This is a long non-coding RNA of Equus caballus (horse), 3845 nucleotides long. The record is from Ensembl. Lineage: Eukaryota; Metazoa; Chordata; Mammalia; Perissodactyla; Equidae.
CUCAGAGUCUCUGUGUUUCUGUAAUGAUAGGAGCUCUCUCCCCUCAGCUUGAUCCCUUCUGUCAUUGCGGGGGUCAUUGAGGUCUUUGCUCAAAUGUCACUUCCUCAGAGAAGCCUUCCUUGACUAUCAGACUGACAAAAUCUCUGCUGUUAUAGAGUUGACCUUUCAGGGAUGAGAUAAGAAAUAUGCCUGUUAAUGUUUAAUAUGACAAGAAACAAAGUAAGGGUAAGGGAGAUAGAGAACAAUCUGGGUGGGAUGCUGGGGGAGAGCUCUAUUGGUUGGUCAAUAAAGGCCUCUCUGGUCAGUGGACAUUUGAACCAUCUAAGGACAGGAGUUUUCUCUGUGUGUUCAAAGAAAAGAAAGAAAGCAGAGGGCUGCCCUGGAGCCACAGAGAGGGCAAAGGUAGGAGAUGACAUCUAUGAGGCAGCUGUUCACGGGCCGGAUCAUGGAGGCCAUGAUAAAACUCAUGGAGGCCAGGCCAGGACUUUGGAUUUUAUGGUUCUAAGCAGAGUGGUAAAAUGGCCUAAUUUCCAUGUGAUCAUUCUGGUUGCUUUACAGAAAAUAGACUGCUGUAGAGUAAUGGAGGAAACAGGGAGACCAGUAAGGGGGCCCCUCAAUUAGCGCUUCUUUGGGGAACCAGGUUAACUGACAACACGGCAGCAAAGAAGCGAGAGAGUAUGAGAGAAUGUCAGCAACAGAGACAAAGCUGGCAGGAUGGAGGUCAGACUCUUCUGUAACCUCAACAUGGAAAUGACACCCCAUCAUCUGCACUCUAUUAUUUUUGUUAGAAGCGAGUCACCAGGUCCCGUUUAUACUCAUGGGAAGGGGAUUACUCAAGGGUGUGGGUGGCAGGAGGUGGGGAUCCCUGGGAACCCUAUCAGAAGCUGCCUACCAUGUCUAUAUAAAGUAAUAUUUGAGAUCCAAGUGCUGAUCCAGUACAGAAAAACUCUCCAACCAUUUUUGCCACCUAUAACUUUGCAGUUAGGAACGUCCACAGGAAUAUUAGAACUGUUUCCCUUUGAUAGAAGGCCAUAUGUCAGUGGAGGUGUUUUUGGCGCUUACUAAUGCACUCAGUAACUUGAUUUGAAAAGAGAACUGUGCAAUACUGUAUAAUUUCAAACACUUUCCUAGCAAAAAUAUAUUACCUUUAAUUAGGCUGAUUUAAAGCUGUUAAGAUUCUUGUCAGAAAUAAUUUUUAAGUGGAUGUGUCAAGAUGAAAACAGCAGUUGUCAAGUGAAGAAAGCGGUAAUUUGUGUGUGUGCUGUCUGGCUUAUGAGAAAUUGGGUCUUUAAAUACCAACCAAGCAUUCCUGCUAACAAUUUCUUUUAUAGAAGCCAUUCUGGCAGUUUGGGAUUCAAAAUGUUGGAAUGCUAUUGUUUGUGGUAAAUAUUUGUCCUAUGACUAGGGAAUUAAAUUUAGUUCCUACCCUGUAAUAUAGACAAAAGCAUCUCUAAGAAGAGAAAGCAUUUAAGCAAUUAAAUUCACCAAGUGGUCAAACACAUAGCAUGAGCAAAGCAUUCUGGGUGAUUACAGAGUGGAAUAAUAAUAACAAUAAUGAAGACCACUCUUAGAUGAAAGCAAAUCAGGUGACUUUAAGCACUCGAAAAAGCUUGAAUUCUACUUGCAGUCUUUUUAGGCUACUAAUUUCUUUAGCAAGCUUUUGUUAUUGGGCAGUGAAAAGGAGGGCUUUUGCUUGACCUCUAUGGUAGGGUUUCUUAGUAGUGGCACUGUUGACAUUUUGGGUCACGUAAUUCUUUGUUGUGGGGGGGCUGUCCUAUGCACUGUAAGAUGUUUAGCAGCAUUCCUGGCUUCCCAGGAUGCCAAUAGCUUUGCUCCUCUCAUCCCAGUUGUGACGUUGAAAUAUGUGUGCAGACGUUGCCGGAUGUACCUGGAGGUAGAGAGAGGGGGGGAAAAAAUCACCACACUAUGGCAAUUACCACAGCUUUUGAAUCAGGGAAUUCUAAAUUAACACGAGGUAACAUUAUCUUACUUUUAUCCAUUGCAUUUAUAAAUAUUUUGUCUUUUCUCUUGGUCCUCAAAAGCAAAAUUCCAUAUGCUAUAUAAAAGAUAAUUCAUUCUCCUAGUCAUUGAGCCAGUGAACAUUCACUGAGUGCUUACUGCAUGCAAUCAACUUUCCCCAGGCAUUGCAAAGAAUACAGAAAAAAGUAGGUUUUUGUCCUCAAGAAGCUUGAGAUCUCGGAGGAGGUAGAGAAGGGAUUUAGGUCGUGUAUAUACAUGACUAUCAAGCAAGUAGGAAGAACUAAAUUCAAAUAAAGAAAGAGGUAAAAUUUAUUGAGAGGAACUUUUACUUUUCCCUUGCAGACCAGCGGUGAUUUAGAAGUUUAUCCCUGAGCUGGGAUUCUGGAAUCAGAGUUUAAUAGAGCAAGGUUAACCUAAGUUUUGGGGUAUGAGAGUAGAUUUGGAAUUGGAGCUAGACCUCUGGAACAAAACAUCAAAUCAAUGGGGGUAGGCAGAGAGAUAGAAACCCAGUCUGAAGCCAAAGGUUCUCAACCAGAAAUGGCAAGAUGGAGGGUGCAUGUUCAAGAGGACCAAAAAGCGGGGGAGCCUGGAAAAGGUUGCUGAAACACUGACAAACAGCCCCUGGUCCAUUUUGUAGGAAACUGCUAAUGAGCUCAGGUGCAAUCACAGCUGUAGGAGCACUAAACUGAUUUAAUGGGUGGGAGGCCUUCCAGUGGGACCAGAAUUAUUCUUCUCUUACCCAUGGUGCCCAGGAACUCAGCAGUGGUGUAUGGAAAGCAAUUCCAAGCCAUACACAGGCAAUGGAAGAUGAGAUAUCAGAGGGUCCUGCUUCCAAGUACCUCCCACUGGCCAGCCCUGUGCCCAACAUCUCCACCAUUAGGGCUUUGUCAUUUGGGUGAGUCUUCUGAAAAAGCAAACAUUCUCCCCAAAAUGGUGUUAUUAUCCAUGAACUCGUGGUGUUAUAAUUUUCGAAGUAUAUUCCAAAGACUCUUAAUAGGUAUUACCUUGAAGAGUUUAAUCAACCAAUUAGUUUCUGAAGUGCCUGGUAAAAGAAAUUAAACACAUUUUUUUACUGCAGAAUUUAUAAGAACCUUUAAGAUACAUCAUCAAUCUCAAAUGGAGGGUUAUACUGUGAAACACUUCCAAAAUUUAUUUGAAUACAAAGCCAUUUUAUCGUGUAACAUCUCAUGAGAACAUGGUGUAUGCUACAUGCUUUGUGUAACCCUGCGUGGUUGUGAAAUGAGUGGCUGUUGCCAACUGUCUGGACUUUAAGUGAAUGGGGUAUAGCAGGAAAAAUAUAUCAACAUGUGCAUAUUCACAGACCUCUCCCUCCACACCUGCUAAAGGAAAACUUGACUUUGCCAGUUUGGUUCCACCGCAUUUCUUGCCCCACCAAAUAGAGUUCUGUCUUGAUCACCAGUUUCAUGGUCUUUAUUAUACAUCACUGUAAAUGGUGAAGUCUGGAGAUGCUGGCUAAUUACUCUAAAGAGCAGAUGAUAGGAGAAAAAUAACGGAAAUAUUAAGGGGGGAAUGAAAAGUAGGGCAGGUUUGGAGAGCAGUCGUUGGUGGAGUAGGGCAGGUAACUGACUCUGAGAGCUGCCUUUGUGCAUCUUGGAGUCUGAGAAAGAGCGAAUGCCUGGUAAGAGAAUAUUUUUCUGGACGUGAGAAGAGUAAUUCUUAAGUUGACGUUUUUCCUUAUCAAACUGUAGUAAACAUUUAAAUUGCUUUUUAUUUACUUUUGGUUGCUAGGAUGAAUUUAUUUAAAUAUGAAAAUGAGCUGAAAUGGGGUGUUAAGGUGGGAUCCAAAAGGUCUGUCUUUAUAAAGGCAGUUACAGGGAAUAUUUAACGAGAAGCAGAGAUCCUGG